CCUCCUCCUCCUCCUCCUCCUCCUCCUCCUCCUCCUCCUCCUCCUCCUCCUCCUCCUCGCGUUCCCGACCUGACCCAGCAGCAACCAUGUGGCUGGUGGUGCUGGCCAGCCUUCUUCACUGCGCCUCGGGUUCCGACGUGGAUCUGAAGAAACUGGACGGGCUGGCGAAAGCGAGAGUGGAGACGUGUGGUGGAUGACAGCUGAACAGGCUCAGGGAGGUCAAGGCCUUUGUGGUCCAGGACAUUCCUCUUUACCACAACCUGGUGAUGAAGCACAUGCCUGGGGCCGACCCUGAGCUUGUCCUCCUGAACCACUAUUAUGAAGAGCUGGAUGUAAGUCUUUGUUCUGCGACAUAUUUAUAUUUGCACUGUACUUAUUUGACAAUCUAUUAAAGUCUCUAUAUGUACACUUUAAAUGUGAUUAUAGCAUCUAUAAUACAA
Molecule: long non-coding RNA, 440 nt
Organism: Pseudoliparis swirei
Lineage: Eukaryota; Metazoa; Chordata; Actinopteri; Perciformes; Liparidae
Exons: 4
Source: RefSeq, a predicted model, not a curated record